Long non-coding RNA from Sinocyclocheilus rhinocerous, 467 nucleotides. RefSeq lists it as uncharacterized. The record is from RefSeq and is a predicted model, not a curated record. NCBI's taxonomy places the organism in Eukaryota, Metazoa, Chordata, Actinopteri, Cypriniformes, Cyprinidae. The transcript is spliced from 2 exons.
UGAACCCUCACAUUCAGGAACUAAAGAUACGAUGAGACCGCAUCACACAGAAGCAGACCGUUUGUUCAUUUCAGUUUAUUUGUAUUUUUCCAAGUACAUAUCAAUCUGUACAUCAGCACUCGCUCACGGCUGCUUUCACCGCAACACCGUCACUUUAUUAGACUGAUCAAAAAACAAAGACAACGACAGUCUUCCUCCGUCCUGAGGAGCAAACCGUCAAAAAGAGGAGGAAGCGUGACCUCGAGUCACGUGACCAGAUCACAUGACAUCAGCGUCACGACACGCAAAUCAUGAAGAAAACCAGAGAAAUGAAAUGAAAUCAGGCACCUUCUGCGUUUAAAACCAGUCAUUAUCAAUUCAUGGUCUGACAGGAAGAAGCACGUGAUGAAGAGUGAAGAGGCUCAGAAACGUCCAUCAGUCCUCACAGAAGAAAGCUUGAGCGGCCCAACUCCUCACGCCCUUUCACU